UUUUCUGCCACCGAAUACAUUAGCAUGGGAUAAUGGAAUAGGACCCUGUCCUCCUAUCUUCAGUUGGUUAACUUGUAGAGGAUCAGGGUAAUGAUUAAUAGGGAUAGUUGGGGGCAUUAAUAUUUAAUUGUCAGAGGUGAAAUUCUUGGAUUUAUGAAAGAUUAACUUCUGCGAAAGCAUCUGCCAAGGAUGUUUUCAUUAAUCAAGAACGAAAGUUAGGGGAUCGAAGACGAUCAGAUACCGUCGUAGUCUUAACCAUAAACGAUGCCGACCAGCGAUUAGGAGACGUUGAAUACAAAACACCACCAUACAUAAUUCAGUAUAUGGCCAGUCAAAUGGUUGUAUAUUGUUUGUGUAUGGCACCGGUGAAUGACUCCCUAGCAGUUUGUGAGAA
Molecule: ribosomal RNA, 394 nt
Filed under: Acanthamoeba sp.
Lineage: Eukaryota; Discosea; Longamoebia; Acanthamoebidae
Description: SSU rRNA
Rfam family: Eukaryotic small subunit ribosomal RNA
Source: RNAcentral